This is a non-coding RNA of Oryctolagus cuniculus (rabbit), 1399 nucleotides long. The record is from RefSeq and is a predicted model, not a curated record. Lineage: Eukaryota; Metazoa; Chordata; Mammalia; Lagomorpha; Leporidae.
GAUUGGCUGUUAAAGUGGCCUAAGGAUUGGCUGGAUGCAAAGUGGAAUGGACGAAUCAGAGUUUAGCACCAAGCGGCUCUUCUGAUUGGACAAAAUGGAGCUAUGUUUGGAUCCUUCCCUUGGUUCCAAAGCUCCACAAUAGAAAGUCAAUGCAAAUGAAUUGCGUUGGUCCCUCUCAGGAUCUUAGAAAGUCGGACCAGAGAGCAGGAGCCUAAGUUUAUUAGCAUCAAGGGAACGCAGUGCAGGAGAGGCUGCUUGAACGAAGUUUUUGUAAAUAUUUUCCAGUGUAAAACAAAAUGCGUUCCCUGCGUGACUCCCUUCUCCUAACGUUUUUGCUUAAGCUUGGAAGGAAAGGGAGAAUUGGAAUUCAGCAAAUCAGACUAUUUUUCUAAGUACAAUAUUUCGUAUAUCACACACAUACAUUUUUAACCAAAAAGCGAUUAUUUUGCCCGAUGGAGUGGGAGAGAAGUAAGUAGAUACAAAGAGAAACUGGUCAAGUGACUGUUGGAAGUCCUGUUUUGCAUGUUUUUAGGCGACUUUCAUCAAACAAGAAGUUAUCUACUGGGCGAUGCAGUUCUUGGAAUUACGUGAUUCAGCUGAAGGAAACACCACAGCUGGGAAGGCGAGAGGUUUACUCCAAUAUUUGCAUGUCCGCAAAACAUAAACGAAAGAUAACUAAACCAAACACGUGCCCCCCCCCCUUUUUUUUUACAAUAUUCUGGCAGGCUUUGGAAGAAACAGGAGGAAUGCGGAGACACGCUGACCCUUACCUCCGCCUGAACAGCGUCUGGGCAGAACUGCAGUGCUCAGUCCUCCAGGUACCUCCAGUGUUCCAAACGCUGAAGCGGGCUUAAGCUAAGAACAGCCCAGCAAAGCCCAGAAAACUGCUGCCCUGGGAUUCUACCCCGUCCCGCUGAGUCUGGGUCACCGAAUAUCGCACAUUUUUAAAAUGAAAGAGCCGCAGGACCUGGUACGCACAGAGCUCCGCUCAGAAUGACUGCAAGUAGAUAUCUCAGGAUUUACUUCGCCACACGAGGGGCCAGCAUCAGCAGUGAGGGGAAACGCGCACUUUGGAAGGGCAGCCGUGGCACACGCGGCUUUGACUCACUCUCUGGUCCCGAAUUGCUCGCCUAACUCCAGUGCGCUUUAUCUGCACGUGUCUGUAGAUGACUGCAAUUCAGGACGCAGCUGACUUGAGAGGCAGAGGGAGGUCGCCCAUGGUUGGUGUAGUCCCCCUAGGCCCAGGACAGCAGGGGCUCGGGUGGCUGAAGCAGAAGGACCGGCGGGAACAGGCAGCCGGCGACAGGAGCCUCAGGAUGAGGCCGUCGCCCGCUGUCCCAGGACCUACUGAUUCUGCACCUGUCACGUGAGCACUGCUGUUUCUUCAGCCCAAUCCUGC